Molecule: non-coding RNA, 1011 nt
Organism: Thamnophis sirtalis
Lineage: Eukaryota; Metazoa; Chordata; Lepidosauria; Squamata; Natricidae
Source: RefSeq, a predicted model, not a curated record
AGGCAGAAUUGCUUGGGCCGAGUUUGUUUUGGAGGGUGGAGAGAAGAGACACUGGAGGGAGCCAAUCUCCGAGCGUGGAAUCCCAAAUCCUCCCUCGCUGGGGACUGUUUUGACUGAACGGGGCUCGCUUCGCACAGAGGACCCCGGCCGAGAAGAGCGCGGAUGGGUUCAAGAAGAAACGAAAGCUCCCUUUCGCUCAACUCCACUGUUGUCCCCAAAAACUGGGCUCUUGCUUGGGGUCGAAGCCGAUAAGUCACCGGACGCAAGAGCGGAAUAAAAGAACAAACAGUUUUAUCUGAGCCAGCUCCACGACCCCCCUCUCCUUCCUCAGUGAGAGAGAGAGGGGGGAGAGGAGCAAAGCUCGUAAUUUCCAAGGCAAAGAAAUGAAGACAAGAGAAAAUGCUUUAUCAGAAUUCACAUUCCUCACUCUCAUGUCCACUCCAUCCACAUCUGGGUCCUAUCGCCACAUCUGGCCCUUCCUCUGAUCCCCCAGGGCCUCAUCUGGACAUACAUGCCAUCAUCUGAAUCUUCACCACCAUUCCCACCUUCUAGGAGUUCAAUCAAGAACUUUGGAGAACUUCCUUCGCUGUUGGCUCACGUCUUCCAAUGAACAACUUCUCGGUCUUUUCAAACUUAUCCUCUUCAGCCAAGUUUGAACUUUAAUGACUCUUUAAAGAGGGGUAAGUUACGGUUUGAGAGCGUGAUGUGAGUUCAUAGUAAAAUGUAGUCCGAAACCAACUGAAGUGAGAAACAUCCAUGGCAGAAAUGGAUGUCUGAAGCCAUUCUGAGGUUUUUUCCAGGAAUUCCAAUGACAGCUCCCAUCUUUGAUAACUUUUAGCCUCUCUUUGGCUUAAAACAGCUAAGUCCAGAAAACGUUCUCCAUGGAAUGGAAAAGAAUAAUUACUGGAAGACAACUUAUUAUAUAUUUAUCAUAUGGAGCAUCCACAUCACAUUCCCACAAGAAAAAAACACAAGAGAUAAAAAUAUGAAAUAUAAAAUAUUAUAAACGUA